GACGUAGGGUGCAAGCGUUGUCCGGAAUUAUUGGGCGUAAAGAGCUCGUAGGCGGUUUGUCGCGUCUGCUGUGAAAACCCGAGGCUCAACCUCGGGCCUGCAGUGGGUACGGGCAGACUAGAGUGCGGUAGGGGAGAUUGGAAUUCCUGGUGUAGCGGUGGAAUGCGCAGAUAUCAGGAGGAACACCGAUGGCGAAGGCAGAUCUCUGGGCCGUAACUGACGCUGAGGAGCGAAAGCAUGGGGAGCGAACAGG
This 253-nucleotide ribosomal RNA is filed under the name uncultured bacterium. Its description in RNAcentral is "partial 16S ribosomal RNA". It matches the Rfam family "Bacterial small subunit ribosomal RNA", at positions 524 to 776 of the family's 1533-position model. The record is from RNAcentral.